AACGAACGCUGGCGGCAUGCCUAACACAUGCAAGUCGAACGGGACCUCCGGGUCUAGUUGCGCUCGGGGGCGUAACGCGGGGGAAGCUGCACGUAGGUACCGAAUACCUCCCCGUAGGGGGAGCUAAUGCAGGAUAAUGUAAUCGGACAAACGAUUUAUCGCUGUAGGGUGGGCCCGCGUUGGUUUAGCCGGUUGGUAGUGGAAAAGCCGGUCAAGGCGACGUUCCAUAGCUGGUCUGAGAGGAUGAUACGCCACACUUGGACUGAGACACGGCCCAGACUCCUACGCAAGGCAGCAGUGUAUAAUAUAGGACAAUGGGGGAAAGCCUGAUCCAGCAAUGCCGCGUGAGUCGUGAUGGCGUUAGGGUUGUAAAGCUCUUUUACCCGGGGUGAUAAUGACGGUACCGGGAGAAUAAGCUCCGGCUAACUCCGUG
Molecule: ribosomal RNA, 433 nt
Filed under: uncultured bacterium
Lineage: Bacteria
Description: partial 16S ribosomal RNA
Rfam family: Bacterial small subunit ribosomal RNA
Source: RNAcentral